This 350-nucleotide ribosomal RNA is filed under the name uncultured Rikenellaceae bacterium. Its description in RNAcentral is "bacterial SSU rRNA". It matches the Rfam family "Bacterial small subunit ribosomal RNA", at positions 354 to 698 of the family's 1533-position model. Lineage: Bacteria; Pseudomonadati; Bacteroidota; Bacteroidia; Bacteroidales; Rikenellaceae. The record is from RNAcentral.
UGAGGGAAUAUUUGGGGACAAUGGAUGGAAAUCUGAUCCAGCCAUGCCGCGUGCAGGAAGACGGUCCUAUGGAUUGUAAACUGCUUUAGCAUGGGAGCAAUAAGGUGUACGCGUACACCGAUGAGAGUACCAUGAGAAUAAGCACCGGCUAACUCCGUGCCAGCAGCCGCGGUAAUACGGAGGGUGCAAGCGUUAUCCGGAUUUAUUGGGUUUAAAGGGUGCGUAGGCUGUAAGUCAAGUCAGCGGUGAAAAGUCGGGGCUAAACCUUGAGGGUGCCGUUGAAACUGAUUUACUAGAAUGUGGAUGAUGCCGGCGGAAUGUGUCAAGUAGCGGUGAAAUGCAUAGAUAUG